UAGGAGUAUGAAAUCAACUAUCAAUUUCGGCCGUAAACCUAUGUUUACGGUCGUGAACCUAGGUUUACGAGCGUGAACUACAGUUUACCUUCGUAAAACCGUGUUUAUCGAUUUGUAACUAUGCUUUAGGACCAGUAUCUGUGAUUUACGAGCAUAGCCAAUUACAACACCGUAGGCCCUAUAUCCAAAUGGGAAUCAAGAAACUACAAUUUUUUCUGAAGAGACAAAAUGGUGGUCAUAUUUCGUCUUCUCAUAUUUGUAUUAUUUUUUUUAUUUAUUCAGUCUCCGCUACCAGAUCGAAUUGAGAGUUCCUCUGUCGCGACACUUAGUGAUUUCUUCGAGGAAGUUUCAAAACUGUUACAUGAUCUACAACUGUUUGUACAUGCUAAUGACAUUCAAGUCUGAGCUUUAGAUGACCAUGUAGUUACAACAUUCCAAAACACCCUUGACAGGUUGCAAAUUGUUACGAGACAUGUCAACAGAAUUAGGACAAGGAUACCGGUGGGACUAUAUGAACCUGUUGAAAAUUCUUUGCUGCAGGUGAUCCAUAUACUGAGAGAAUACAUCCACCAACAGCAAACUGUUGAUGUACCAACACAACCUGACUUUGGUGCCAACGAAACAAGUUCAACUCUGUGUUCAAGAAUUGCUGGUACUAAACCUGGGGUCUCUGCGUAAGACAUAACUGCUUCACAGUUGCAUACCUUGUUUUCGUUAGGAUUUAGUGUUACAGAGAUUGCUAAAAGUAAAUUACUGGGUACAAGCUGUCGCCAAACUAUAUGUAACCAUAUGUCAAAACACAACAUUGCAAAUGUACGCCAGAGAUACACUAAUAUAUUUGAUGAAGAGCUGAGAGAUGUUGUAGCCGGCAUAAAUCUAGAAAAUCCUUACUCUGGUAGCGAAGAGGUGGCGAUUUGUUGUCCAUGGAGAUAUUGAUGGGUUUUCAAGGCUUGUUACUUUCCUGAGAGCUUCAUCAAACAAUCGAGCCAAGACCAGUUUGGUCUUCUUUCUUCAAGGUAUUGCUGAUCAUGGUCUGCCUAGUCGAAUACGUACAGAUAAUGGUGGAGAGUAUGUACAUGUUAGACGUUUUAUGAAUACAGAAUUGGGACCAAAUAGGGGAAGUGCUGUUAGUGGCCUGUCUACACACAAUCAAAGAAUUGAAUGCUUAUGGAGAGAUGUCUUUACCAAAGUGUACAUUGGAUAAAUUUUAUAAACUAUUUUAUCAUAUGGAAGAUUACAAACUUUUAGAUAUAAACAAUGAAAUUCAUAUAUUCGCCUUGCAUCACACAUUUUUACCACAGAUCGAUGCUGAAUUAAUAAAAUGGGCAUCUGUUCACAAUAAUCAUAAACUUAGAACUGAAAACAAUAAAACAGCGCUGCAGUUGUGGUAUGCUGGCGUUAUUCAACAGGCGCGUCCUCAGUCCACUGCUAUGAGGAAUAUAUCUGACAGCAGACAUGGAUCUUUGGAAAAAAACAAUGUUGACUGGGAUUUAUCAGAUCCAGAAACAAUACUGACCAUUCCAAAUAUUGUGAAUCCUUUAAAUGAUGACAAUUUUAGGCUAUUGCAAGACAAUAUAAAUGUACUUGGUGAGUCAUCAUCUUAUGGAAUGGACAUUUAUGUAGAAGUACUCCAAUUUAUUAUGAAUCUGGCAGUGUGAUAAAUAGAAUAUCACAUUCAUUAUCGAAUGUAGUAGCAUCAUAUCAUUUUUGCCUACUUGUUUAAUAAAUUGAAUAAUAAAUGAGCACUUAUGUUAGAUCGUCUCCCUCUCAAUCUAUAUAGUUACGUGUAUAUCAACAAAUCUAGUUUCCAGCCAAUUUUGCACAAUUUAAUUCUUUGUCAUGCUUUUUCUGGAACAACAUGAAUUCUGCACAUCGUCUUGAUGAGGUGAUCAUUUGACCAAAGUUUCAUGAAAAUCCUAAGGGUAAAUCUUUGACAUUGAGCUGUGACCUUGACCUUGAACUGACAUACUGACCCAUGAAUUAUGCAUAUCGUCUUUAUGAGGUGAUCGUUUGACCCACGUUUCAUGAAAAUCCUUCAAGCGGUUUAGGAGAUACAGAGUGGACAUGAAAUGAAAGGCUCAAACCUUUGACCCUAAGUUGUGACCUAGACCUUGAGCUGGCAUGGCUGACUCAUCAGUUCGGCACAUCGUCCCGAUGAGGUGAUCAUUUGACCCAAGUGUGAUAAAAUUCCUUCAAGGCGGUUAGAAGAUAUAGAGCAGACAUGAAACCUUUGACCUUGAGUUGUGACAUUGACCCCGCAUGGCUGACUCGUAAGUUCUGCACAUUGUCUUGGAUAGGUGAUCAUUUGAUCCAGGUUUCAUAUGAAUCCUUCAAGGGGAUUAGGAGAUACAGAGUGGACACAAAAUGGCUCAAACCUUUGACCCUAAGUUGUGACCUUGACCUUGAGCCAACAUGGCUGACUAUGAGUUCUGCACAUUGCCGUAAUAAGGUGAUCAUUUGACCAAAGUUUGAUGAAAAUCCUUCAAGGGGUUUAGGAGAAACAGGGCGGACACAAAACGGAAGGCUCAAUCUUUUGUCCUCGAGUUGUGACCUUGACCUUGAGCUGACAUGGCUAACUUAUGGGUUCUGCAUAUUGUUUUGAUGAGGUUAUUCAUGAUUAUCCUUCAAGGGGUUUAGGAGAUACAGAGCGGACACGAAACGGAAGGCUCAAACCUUUGACCUUGACCUUGAACCGACAUGGCUGACUCAUGGGUUCUGCACAUUGUCUUGAUGAGGUUAUCAUUUGACCCAAAGUUCAUGAAAAUCCAAGGGGUUUAGGAGAUACAGAGCGGACACAAAAUGUUAUGGAAGAACGGACGGAGACCAUUCCUAUGGAGUAACAGCACAUUUAAGUUCCUCCACUGUCUUAAAUAUGGACACACAUUUUAACGAUGUUAUUGUAAAGCCCUACAUGUGGAUCAUUGUAGUCUGUUCGUCACGAAAACUUAACAUUGGCUAUAACUUUCUCAUAACACAUUUCUUCAUCAAGCUUUCAAUAUAUACUUAUGAAUCAUGAUGACAUCAUGGCCAAUAAGUCUAUGGCACGUCAAACGUUGCAAAAUUCAAUAACUGUUUAUGUAUGUUCUAUAACUGCAUAUGUUCUAUAAAGUUAUAUUGUAAAAUUAAAUAUGUCUUUGGUAAAAAGUCAUGUGUAUAUUGUAUAACUGUAUAUGCAUGUUGCUUAAUUGCAUAUAUAUGCUAUAUUUGUAUUUAAUAAAUAUCAUUAACCUAUUUCCCAAGUCCGGCAUGUUUUGUUACAUUCACAAUAUUAUAUUCAUAAAUAAAGAUAACACUGAG
Long non-coding RNA from Mercenaria mercenaria, 3297 nucleotides. RefSeq lists it as uncharacterized. Lineage: Eukaryota; Metazoa; Mollusca; Bivalvia; Venerida; Veneridae. The record is from RefSeq and is a predicted model, not a curated record. The transcript has 3 exons.